UUUAAAAAAUUAGUGAGCUUUACUCAUUUCUGCUUACUUUGUUGACCUUACUUUAAGAAACUUAGUAAAGAACACUUUUUGGUGAGUAAAGUUAUUAAACUUAUUAUCUCAAGUAAGCUUUACUUUAAAAAAAUGAGUGAGGCGGACUCGGAAGAAACUCGGGUGCACUCGGCAGCACUCGGCUCGAAUACGCAUGCGCAGUCGACCACUGAAGACGUUCUUUGCUCGAGACGGAUUGGCGGCAGCGAGAAGGCAGUGCAGGUGUGCGAGUUACUUUCAGGCUUUGAAAAACCUGGCAAUGAAUUAUUCUGGCUGAGUUCUGUUGCUUAUCAAGCAAAAAUCUGAGUUGCAAUCAGAGUUCUUCAAAGAUCUCGACAAAUACACUCCUCGCUUCCUGGAGAAGUUCAAGACCCAGAGGGGGAAAGUGUCGGACAGAAACUUGAAUAUCUGCAACAAGUCACACCUGGGAGUACAGAUGUGAAUGGGAGGUGAACAGCAGUCCUCCGUGGCUCUCCCUUCAUCCUUGGAGAUGACAACGCAGACUUCUUCAAGAAUUUGUGUGAGUUUAGGAUGGCGUGAAGCUUCGACUUGACCCUAUGGAAACACAGCAGAUGCCACCAAAGGGUCCUGAUCGGGGACUCUGAUGACCUUCUGGACGUGUCCCACACCUCCAUUGGGACCCUGACGGUGCUGAAGACAUCGUGGCCUCCUCACUCGCUGGACCUGGAGUCUACAACUACUGCCAUCGUUUUGGGAGGAACAGUCGUGAUGGGUGACCGUGAUACUCUUCCCCGUGCCGUGUGGCUACUCUUCUGACUUAUUUACCCCUGAAUUUGGAGUAUCCUCAACGAGUGAGGAAGACCUUCUGAAUUUAUUCAUAGAGUGCUUCUCACUUGGACCAAAAACCCUAAAAUACAAUCACUCAAAAAUCUACUGAUGCCAUAAGGGACUGUGUUCAUGAUGUGCAGUCAGGCCCGAGAACGUCACCCUUCUAUCUCCAAUAGAACUCUUUUAUAUAAAAUGUCUGUUUUUGUUGUUUUUCUGUAGUGAAAUUUAGCAAAUGCCGAAAACGCUGUGUUCAUCAUAUUUCUGCGUUACAAAACCUAAUCUGGCAACAUGUUCAGCAUUUUAAGCACGUUGUUUGAGUUUUAAAACAUGUGUUUUUCUUCUAAAUAAACGUUGUCUUCCA
This is a long non-coding RNA of Pseudoliparis swirei, 1189 nucleotides long. RefSeq lists it as uncharacterized. The record is from RefSeq and is a predicted model, not a curated record. Lineage: Eukaryota; Metazoa; Chordata; Actinopteri; Perciformes; Liparidae. The transcript has 6 exons.